This 546-nucleotide long non-coding RNA is filed under the name Macaca mulatta (Rhesus monkey). RNAcentral describes it as "lncRNA (ENSMMUG00000054205.1)". The record is from RNAcentral. Lineage: Eukaryota; Metazoa; Chordata; Mammalia; Primates; Cercopithecidae.
AUGGUCAAUGUUGUCACUCACCCUGGGCUUAGAACUGUCUAUGGCUCUUCAGGAUUCAAUCUAAGAGAAAAGCCCCAACCUGGUUUGAUCCUAGAAUGCCUGGCGAAGCCUGGCCCCUCCUUUCCCACACCGGUGCUCAGGGCAGCUUUGAGCGGCCCCUCCUUUCCCCACACUUUCACUCAGGGCAGCUUCGAGAACGUCCUGCAGCUGCCUGGACAUGGCUUCUGUGCGUGUCCACUGCUGUUCCCUCUGCCGUCUCUCUCUGUGCGUGUCCACUGCUGUUCCCUCUGUUGUCUCUCUCUCUGCGUGUCCACUGCUGUUCCCUUUGUCUCUGUCGUGUCCACUGCUGUUCCUCUGUUCUCUCUGUGUCCACUGCUGUUCCCUCUGUUGUCUCUCUGUCCGUGUCCACUGCUGUUCCCUCUGUUGUCUCUCUCUGCGUGUCCACUGCUGUUCCCUCUGUUGUCUCUCUCUGCGUGUCCACUGCUGUUCCCUCUGUUGUCUCUGUCCGUGUCCACUGCUUUCUCUUUGUCUCUCUGUCCGUGUCCU